CGUCGACGACAUGUCGAUAUCCGGUCUUCUGGCCCGUCCCCCGCUGGAUUCCGGAUCAGGCGGCAGCCUCAUCCCCCCUCUCCGGGCUGCCGCUCUAUAUAAUGAUCUGGCCGCUGCGGUACCCCCUCGCCGCAGCGGUCAAGUCUU
This 147-nucleotide small RNA is filed under the name Mesorhizobium sp. RMAD-H1. Its description in RNAcentral is "sRNA ar7". It matches the Rfam family "Alphaproteobacterial sRNA ar7". The record is from RNAcentral. Lineage: Bacteria; Pseudomonadati; Pseudomonadota; Alphaproteobacteria; Hyphomicrobiales; Phyllobacteriaceae.